Molecule: long non-coding RNA, 1040 nt
Organism: Dermochelys coriacea (leatherback sea turtle)
Lineage: Eukaryota; Metazoa; Chordata; Testudines; Dermochelyidae
Exons: 2
Source: RefSeq, a predicted model, not a curated record
UAAAAACUUGUCACUUUUUAGCUGUCUGCCAUUACAUGAUGUAAUUGAAUGGGACUCUUUUUCAUUUGACUGUUUCUCAUCAGAGCCUACCUGUAUUUUAUCAUCUUCCAUCCUCUCCUCCUUACUAAGACACAGAGAAUCUCCAUGAAAAGAACCUCCCCUAAGGGAUGUCUCUGUCCGAACCACGUGCUCCUCCACCCUUGUCGGCUUUCCUACAGCCCUUAGUUUAAAAACUGCUCUAUGACCUUUUUAAUUUUAAGUGCCAGAAUUCUGGUUCCAUUUUAGUGGAGCCAAUCCUUCCUGUAUAGGCUGCCCCUUUCCCAAAAGUUUCCCACAAUUCCCAAAUGGUUUUUAUGAUAUCACCACAAAUUGCUACAUAUUGCAAUAUCAACAAUAUUAAGUCCAUCCAAAGUCUUGUAAUCUGUUUAACACUUGAUUAAUGGGCCUCUGCAAAGUGAUUCCUGCAUUAAUGAACCCAAAAGGUAACACUUUGUACUCACAAAGUUCCAUCCUUUAGACAGCAAAGCAUGGAGAAAAUCUACUUUCAAUAGCCUUUAACCAACCUAGGUAUUUUGCCUUGCCUAAAGUAUUUAACAUAUCAAUUCUGGGCAUAGGAUAGUUGUCAGAUACUGUGACAGCAUUAAGCUUUCUAUAAUCAACACAAAACCUUAUAGUCCCAGCUCCCUUAGGAACCAUAACAACUAGUGAGGUGCAGGAACUGUCCGACUCUAAUAUCUCCAUUUCCAACAUACUGUGUAUUUCUUUACGAACCUGCUCCCUCAUUUCUUCAGUGGUUUGGGAGGCUCUAUUCGAGGCAGGCUGAGGUCCCAGUACCAAUGAGAGACCAUCUUCUCUGUCAAACCAGGCAUGCUAGAGACAGGGCCGGAUUAACUUUUUGUGGGCCCGGCACCAAACAUGUUUGUGGGCCCCCAUGUGGUUGUGAUGAGCCCCUUCCUAGUGUGGGCCCAGUGUGACAGCACCAUUGAUGGCAUAGUAAAUGUGGUGUUGCUGGGAUGGGAAUGAAAACAUUUAUUCAAAAA